GACGAACGCUGGCGGCGUGCUUAACACAUGCAAGUCGAACGAAGAGCGAUGGAAGCUUGCUUCUAUCAAUCUUAGUGGCGAACGGGUGAGUAACGCGUAAUCAACCUGCCCUUCAGAGGGGGACAACAGUUGGAAACGACUGCUAAUACCGCAUACGAUCUAAUCUCGGCAUCGAGGAUGGAUGAAAGGUGGCCUCUAUUUAUAAGCUAUCACUGAAGGAGGGGAUUGCGUCUGAUUAGCUAGUUGGAGGGGUAACGGCCCACCAAGGCGAUGAUCAGUAGCCGGUCUGAGAGGAUGAACGGCCACAUUGGGACUGAGACACGGCCCAGACUCCUACGGGAGGCAGCAGUGGGGAAUCUUCCGCAAUGGACGAAAGUCUGACGGAGCAACGCCGCGUGAGUGAUGACGGCCUUCGGGUUGUAAAGCUCUGUUAAUCGGGACGAAAGGCCUUCUUGCGAACAGUUAG
Molecule: ribosomal RNA, 466 nt
Filed under: Veillonella dispar
Lineage: Bacteria; Bacillati; Bacillota; Negativicutes; Veillonellales; Veillonellaceae
Description: bacterial SSU rRNA
Rfam family: Bacterial small subunit ribosomal RNA
Source: RNAcentral